AACUUUUAACAAUGGAUCUCUUGGCUCUCGCAUUGAUGAAGAACACAGCGAAAUGCGAUACGUAAUGUGAAUUGCAGAAUUCAGCACCUUGCGCCCCUUGGCAUUCCGAGGGGCACACCUGUUUGAGUGUCGUGAAUUUCUCAAAAUCCUUUUCUCUGAAAAGAUUUUGGACUUGGAGGAUCAAUGCUCACUCUCACAUUUUUGAAAGUGAGCUCCUCUUAAAUGAAUUAGCAGGGUUUGCUUUGCUGAUCCUUGACGUGAUAAGAUGAUUCUACGUUUUGGAUUUGGCACUGUCCCUUUAGACACCUACUUCUAACCGUCUUAUGGACAACGAUAGUGUUCCAGUCACCGCUGCCUAUGUUGGUGGGAGGCUGGACCCACAAGAAAAACCUUGACCUCAAAUCGGGUGAGACUACCCGCUGAACUUAAGCAUAUCAAUAAGCGGAGGCU
RNAcentral lists this unclassified non-coding RNA (450 nucleotides) under uncultured Russula. RNAcentral's name for it is "sequence contains ITS2". The stretch from base 1 to 132 matches the Rfam family "5.8S ribosomal RNA". Lineage: Eukaryota; Fungi; Basidiomycota; Agaricomycetes; Russulales; Russulaceae. The record is from RNAcentral.